GCCGCUGUAGCAUAGUCCGGGAUUGCGGGGCCCUUGUGAGGCUCAGGUCGCCGGUUCAAAUCCGGCCAGCGGCU
RNAcentral lists this transfer RNA (74 nucleotides) under Archaeoglobus sulfaticallidus PM70-1. RNAcentral's name for it is "tRNA-Thr (TGT) (tRNA-Thr-TGT-2-1)". It matches the Rfam family "tRNA". Rfam says of the family: Transfer RNA (tRNA) molecules are approximately 80 nucleotides in length. Their secondary structure includes four short double-helical elements and three loops (D, anti-codon, and T loops). The record is from Rfam by way of RNAcentral. Lineage: Archaea; Methanobacteriati; Methanobacteriota; Archaeoglobi; Archaeoglobales; Archaeoglobaceae.